CUACGGGUCGCUCCAGUGGGGAAUAUUGGGCAAUGGGCGAAAGCCUGACCCAGCAACGCCGCGUGAAGGAAGAAGGCUUUCGGGUCGUAAACUUCUAUCCCAGGUGAAGAUAAUGACGGUAGCCUGGAAGGAAGCCCCGGCUAACUACGUGCCAGCAGCCGCGGUAAUACGUAGGGGGCAAGCGUUGUCCGGAAUGAUUGGGCGUAAAGGGCGCGUAGGCGGCCCUUUAAGCCCGAUGUGAAAGUCCUGCUUUUAAGGUGGGAAUCGCAUUGGAAACUGGAGGGCUUGAGUGCAGGAGAGGUAAGUGGAAUUCCCGGUGUAGCGGUGAAAUGCGUAGAGAUCGGGAGGAACACCAGUGGCGAAGGCGACUUACUGGACUGUAACUGACGCUGAGGCGCGAAAGUGUGGGGAGCAAACAGGAUUAGAUACCCUGGUAGUC
Molecule: ribosomal RNA, 439 nt
Filed under: uncultured bacterium
Lineage: Bacteria
Description: partial 16S ribosomal RNA
Rfam family: Bacterial small subunit ribosomal RNA
Source: RNAcentral